Mesocricetus auratus (golden hamster) is the source of this 235-nucleotide long non-coding RNA. RefSeq lists it as uncharacterized. The transcript is spliced from 2 exons. Lineage: Eukaryota; Metazoa; Chordata; Mammalia; Rodentia; Cricetidae. The record is from RefSeq and is a predicted model, not a curated record.
GUAGCCCUAAUGCUACACUUGUAAGCAGGACAUAGCACAAACUACGAAAAAGCAGGACACUGGGAGUUGUUUGCCCCACAUUGUCUAGACACAGUAAGCCUUAUGUUUGAAGUACUUGAAAUGAGUUUUGCAACCGGACUUUUGUCAUCAUGACUCCAAAGACAGAGAAACACACAGCUGUUCCUUUCAGAUAAAGUAUAUAUGCGGGCCUUGAACUCAGAGCACUGGCCAGUGA